AGAGUUUGAUCCUGGCUCAGGAUGAACGCUAGCGGCAGGCUUAACACAUGCAAGUCGAGGGGUAACAGGGGAGCUUGCUCCCGCUGACGACCGGCGCACGGGUGAGUAACGCGUAUGCAACCUACCCAUAGCAUGGGGAUAGCCUCGAGAAAUCGGGAUUAAUACCCCAUAGUAUUUAAGAAACACCUGUUUUUUAGAUUAAAACUACGGUGGCUAUGGAUGGGCAUGCGUGUCAUUAGUUUGUUGGUGAGGUAACGGCUCACCAAGACUACGAUGACUAGGGGGUCUUAAAGGAUGAUCCCCCACACUGGUACUGAGACACGGACCAGACUCCUACGGGAGGCAGCAGUGAGGAAUAUUGGUCAAUGGGCGGAAGCCUGAACCAGCCAUGCCGCGUGCAGGAUUGACGGCCUUAUGGGUUGUAAACUGCUUUUAAACGGGAAGAAUAAUUGUCACGUGUGACGAGAUGACUGUACCGUAAGAAUAAGCAUCGGCUAACUCCGUGCCAGCAGCCGCGGUAAUACGGAGGAUGCAAGCGUUAUCCGGAUUUAUUAGGUUUAAAGGGUGCGUAGGCGGGACGGUAAGUCAGUGGUGAAAUCCUAUAGCUUAACUAUAGAACUGCCAUUGAUACUGUCGUUCUUGAGUACAGAUGAGGUGGGCGGAAUGUGUUGUGUAGCGGUGAAAUGCUUAGAUAUGACCCAGAACGCCAAUUGCGAAGGCAGCUCACUAGACUGUAACUGACGCUGAUGCACGAAAGCGUGGGUAGCGAACAGGAUUAGAUACCCUGGUAGUCCACGCUGUAAACGAUGAUCACUCGCUGUUUGCGAUAUACUGUAAGCGGCCAAGCGAAAGCAUUAAGUGAUCCACCUGGGGAGUACGUUCGCAAGAAUGAAACUCAAAGGAAUUGACGGGGGCCCGCACAAGCGGAGGAACAUGUGGUUUAAUUCGAUGAUACGCGAGGAACCUUACCUGGGCUUAAAUGUUGUAUGCUUUUAACUGAAAGGUUAUUUUCCGUAAGGACAGACAGCAAGGUGCUGCAUGGCUGUCGUCAGCUCGUGCCGUGAGGUGUCGGGUUAAGUCCCAUAACGAGCGCAACCCCUAUCAUUAGUUGCCAGCGAGUAAAGUCGGGGACUCUAAUGAGACUGCCACCGUAAGGUGAGAGGAAGGUGGGGAUGACGUCAAGUCAGCACGGCCCUUACGUCCAGGGCUACACACGUGUUACAAUGGCCGGUACAAAGGGCAGCUACUAUGUGAAUAGAUGCUAAUCUCGAAAGCCGGUCUCAGUUCGGAUCGAAGUCUGUAACUCGACUUCGUGAAGGUGGAUUCGCUAGUAAUCGCGCAUCAGCCAUGGCGCGGUGAAUACGUUCCCGGGCCUUGUACACACCGCCCGUCAAGCCAUGGAAGCUUGGGGUACCUGAAGUCCGUAACCGUAAGGAUCGGCCUAAGGUAAAACGAGUGACUGGGGCUAAGUCGGAACAAGGUA
RNAcentral lists this ribosomal RNA (1483 nucleotides) under metagenome. RNAcentral's name for it is "bacterial SSU rRNA". It matches the Rfam family "Bacterial small subunit ribosomal RNA". The record is from RNAcentral.